RNAcentral lists this ribosomal RNA (555 nucleotides) under Triticum aestivum (bread wheat). Its description in RNAcentral is "partial small subunit ribosomal RNA". Lineage: Eukaryota; Viridiplantae; Streptophyta; Magnoliopsida; Poales; Poaceae. The record is from RNAcentral.
AUGACAGAAUGCUUCAAUACGGUGCUCAAGGGUGUACAUGCAUUACCCGUGACGGCAAUAGUUCAAUACACAUUUGACAAGUUGAAUGAAUACUUUUUAAAGCACUCAAUGGAGACUGAUAAGCAGAUUGCUGGUGAGAACAAGGAUAAGCACAAGUACAAUUUCCCACCAAAGGUUGAAGAAUGGUUGGAAUUUCAAUCACGAAAGGCAGACUCCGAAGAAGCUGUACUAUAUGACGACAACGAGUGGAAGUAUGAGGUGAAAGAGCCCGGAGGAACCACAAACGAUGGCCGCCAACACGGAGGCCGGGCUUUCAAGGUCUCCCUAACACGGUGUGAUUGCAGCUGCAUGAGGCCGUCUUUGCUUCAUCUCCCAUGCUCGCACUUGUUAAAUGCAUCCCGGGUUAGGAAUGUGGACGUCAAUCACCCUCUUACCGUGAGGGAGUCCGAGUUCUCAAUCAUGACGGUAAAAAAUACAUGGACUCCACGGUUCCAGCCAUACUUGGACCAAUCACAAUGGCGGGAGUAUCAUGGAGUUCAACUAUGGCCGGACCCG